This 318-nucleotide ribosomal RNA is filed under the name Triticum aestivum (bread wheat). Its description in RNAcentral is "partial small subunit ribosomal RNA". The record is from RNAcentral. Lineage: Eukaryota; Viridiplantae; Streptophyta; Magnoliopsida; Poales; Poaceae.
AUGGCGAAGUCUUGCCGAAAAGCAACAGACUUCUUUGGAAUUAUACAACGCAUCUAUACGAUAUUUGCUAAUUCGACUAAACGAUGGCAAAUUCUCAAAGAUAACUUAAAGAAGUUGACUGUCAAGUCAUUGUCAUCUACUCGUUGGGAGAGUCAUGUUGAGAGUGUUAAGGCUAUACGGAUUCAAAUGCCAGAAAUAAGGGAGGCUUUACUACAAGUGGCUGAAACUGAUAAGGAUCCAUUGGCAAGUAGUGAAGCACAAUCAUUGGCAGAAAAUGAACUUGGUGGUUUUGAAUUUUUAGUGUCAAUAAUUAUCUAG